RNAcentral lists this transfer RNA (76 nucleotides) under Victivallales bacterium. RNAcentral's name for it is "tRNA-Thr". It matches the Rfam family "tRNA". From Rfam's summary of the family: Transfer RNA (tRNA) molecules are approximately 80 nucleotides in length. The record is from RNAcentral. RNAcentral also lists the same sequence under 1 other name. Lineage: Bacteria; Pseudomonadati; Lentisphaerota; Lentisphaeria; Victivallales.
GCCAGCUUAGCUCAGUUGGUAGAGCAGUUGACUUGUAAUCAGCAGGUCGUCGGUUCGAUUCCGACAGCUGGCUCCA